This is a non-coding RNA of Carica papaya (papaya), 1204 nucleotides long. The record is from RefSeq and is a predicted model, not a curated record. NCBI's taxonomy places the organism in Eukaryota, Viridiplantae, Streptophyta, Magnoliopsida, Brassicales, Caricaceae.
AAUUGUGAUGCUUAAUACUUCUUAAGUUUGAUGUCUAAGAAACAAUAGGUGUGAUGUUAGGUUUUCAACCCAAAUCCUUAAUUGGACAAAUCAACCCUAUUUGUCUUACAUCAUUUUGCAACUUCUAAGGACAUCUGUAACAAAUUUCCAUAUGUGUCCCAAUAAUAAAUUACAAGCUUCACAUCACAAUACACUUAACCUUAAUAAGAGUUCUUAAUAGAAAAAAGAAUACCAUGAAAUUGUGUGAGGUACAUAUAGCGGCUUGGUAAUUAAAAGAAAUCUAUCAGUUCUUGAGACACUAGAUUAGUAUUAAUGCGAGUUGCGAUGAUAAGCUCACCUACCAAUUCAUUGGUUGUGUGCUUUGAAUGAAAUAUAGGAUAGCAUUUAGAGAGACAACUCUUGAACAGCAUGUGUAGAAGAAGUAUCUAGCAUUCACAUUCGCCGUCUUAAUGGCACAUUCUUAUUUUAAGUGUCUAGUACACUCAAAACUGAAUUCAGAGUAUAUCUUUGAAAGCUAAAGUAGUGGGUAUGAUCACCGCUGGAGUUGUCUGAGCCUUUUGAUGGGGUGGUGUAGCCACCUUGAGGUUGUGGUUGGAGUUCUGAAGAAGACUGAUGGUUUUUGGGAUUACUAUUUGCUGUAUUUUGUUGAAGGAUUAUCCCAUAGGCACCUGGAUCAUAGUUCAUUUUGGUUCACCGCACAGGACGGCUCUGGUUGGCUAUUUGUUUUGGUAUACUGCGAUAGGGGUAUCAUGCUUUUUGUGUGGGCUUUGAUGCUGAAGGUACAUCAGAGGACACGUGGAUAUGCCCUAGGUAGACUUCAAGGAUACCAUUGCAGUUUUAAUUAUUUAUGGAGAAUUUCCUUUCCAACAUGUUUCUGAAAAUAUAGUUUAGAUUUUGUGAUCUAUUAACAGACAGCAUGAUCUUUAAAAUGCAAAACCUCGGAAUAACUGAGAUUUUUUAUUUCAUGAAGUUUGGUUCAUUGAGGUUUUCUCUGGGUCUUGUGGUUCAGGUUCAUGAGCAAGGCCAUGCAGACAAUUCAUAAUCUGUGGCUAUGACCUCUUGUUUCUUUUAGCUUGGACUCAGAAAUUAUGACUUCCUUGCUCUCAUUCUUGCACCCUAGGCUUAAGAGAUAAAUGAGUUUUGCCACUUGAAACGAAUUUCAUCAAUUUAGAAAGUAAUACCCAAAAAUGGGGUUUCAGUUUAA